UUUUUUUUUUUUUUUUUUUUUUUUUUUGCCAAAGAAGGGAGACAAAUGACAGGAAUGAAAGAGACCCUGUUCGUCUCUGAUUAUCUGCCAGGACUUUAAUUCCUAGAGUAGAAACUAAGAAGGAACUUAAGAAGAGGUGGGGUUGGAGCUUUUGUGGAAUUUCUGGUGGAAAAUUGGGAAUGAAAUCGAAGGCUCUGUAUUCCAGCCACUCUUCCUCUUGGAUUGACAGAAAAAUGUAAACACCAGGGAGCUCCUAAGGAGUUUUGGACAACUUAGGAGGAUUUCUUGCUGUUUUUCCUCUUUCCACCUGGAAUUGAAGUUCUCCAGCAAUAAAAUUCAAUUUGUUUCAACCACAGCUGUGGAUGUUCCACCCUGGCAGUGUCCAAGGCCAGGCUGGACAGGGCUUGGAGCACCCUGGGAUGUGGGAGGUGUUUCUAUUCAUGCAGGGGUAGAAUGGGAUCAGCUUUAACUUCCCUUCCACCCCAAAGCACUCUGGGAUUCUGUGAAAAUAAAAUCGAAUAAACAAAAGAAAGGGGGAAAUCCACUGGGAAAUCCUUUGCACCUCUUUAGAGUUAAGAAGUGAAUGGUCCAAACUGACAUCUGUGUUCUUCCUACGUUCCCAAAACACAUUACAAGUCUCCCUUGCUGAUGAUGUCAGCUGGCUCUGAAAGCCUGCAGCAGAUUUAUUAUUUCCUUUGGAAAAAAAAUGCACUUUGUUCUUCCUACGAGAUGAUUCCCAUCAGCUCCAGCGUGCCAAAAGAAGCUGCUUUGGGAAGAAGCCAAGAAGAUGGAGACAAUGUGGGGGACCCUCAGCACAGACUAUUUGUGGGCUAGGGGAGAAAAUCUUGGUGCAAUUUUGGAUGUCUGCAUUUGCUGUGAGUUAAUGAGGAAGUUCCAGAGGUCUCAUUAAGAGACAUCGCUCCAAGAUCCCAUCUUUGUUUCCUUCAUUUUUCCUUUAAGCUGCUCCCAAGCUGGCUGAAAAGGAAUCUUUGUGAGAGCAGAUGAGAUAAACUUUGGGAAUUUGAAGGCAAAGAUGGCCCGGAGAGAUUUGAUGCAGUUAUUUCACUCUUGUGCUCAGAGCUGCCUGUGGCAGAGCUCUGAAAGCCCAGCUGUGUUUCCUUCCUGCUGCUCCAGCAUCUUUUUGGGAUGAGCAGAGAGUUCCUGGGAUACAAAUUUGAUGAUGCACGAGUGGUGGUGUCCCCAUCUCUGCAGGGAUUUCAAAGCCACGUGGAUGUGGCACUUGGGGACGGGGUCAGUGGUGGCCCGAUGACCUCAGAGGGCUUUUCCAGCCUGGAAGGUUCUGUGGUGGAAGUGCUGCCAGCCAGGCUGAGUUACCUGCCAGGACCUUCCCCAGCAGGUUUGAUCCCAGAUCCUUUGGCCAUUCCCUUUUCCUGGCUCACUCCUGGCAUCCAGGACGUGCCCAACAUGCUCCUUGUUCCUGGUGCUGUCCCCUGCAUGUCCCUUUGGCUCCUGGCACUGCCACCAAACCAGGCUGGAGGACAAAGCUGGCACUUCCACUUCAGAGUUCAGCUGAGCCCUCGCUCUGGAAGCGGUUCUGAACACAAUUCCAGACUGGUUUGGCUUCAAAGGGAUGUUAAAGCUCAUCCCAUUCCAUCCCCCUGCCAGGGGACACCUCCCACUGUCCCAGGCUGCUCCAAGCCCUGUCCAACCUGGCCUGGGACAUUUCCAGGGAUCCAGGACAGCCACAGCUUCUCUGGGAAUUCCAUCCCACCCAGAAAUUCCUUCCCAACAUCCCAUCCCUCCCUGCCCUCUGGCAGUGGGAGCCAUUCCCUGUGUCCUGUCCCUCCAUCUCUUUUAUAUAUAUAAUAUCACAUAACAUAUAAACUAUAUUUAUAACAACAACCUCACUUUUUCCCCCCAAAUUAAUAGCAAUUUCCAGGGAAUUUCAAAUGGGAAUUGUGGCGUUACAGCUGUUCCAAGGCAGGCAAUAUUUGGAAGGAUUUCUAACGAAGGACAAACAAAAUUUCUCCUCUCUCUUCCCUCCCCAGGACGCUCUCGUGUCCCAGGCAUGGAGCCGAGCUGUCUGCUCCUCACAGAAACCAGAGGAGCUGGAAAAUUGCAUCAGGGCAGAGAUAAAUCCCUCACCUGGGAGAAGCUGGGAUCCACAGGAGAGGCAGGAAUGUGAGAUGAGAUCUCCCACAAACGCUCCCCGAUAGUAACUGGGCAACACACAACGCUCCCAACCUGCACAAUCCACUGAAAUCCAGCCCUUGCCCUGCAGAGGAUUUGCAGAAGAGCUGCUUUCCCAAUUUCUUUUUUUUUUUUUUCCCUCUUGGAAUGCACAGAUAUCUUAAAAAAAUUCUAAACGUGCUUUCGUGGUUCAUCCUGCAAAAUUAAAAAUUCAGAUUUAAUUAUUUUUUUUCAAAUCUUCACUAGGAAUCUCAAAUGGUGACUAUGAUUUAUUGCUUCCUUGGAAGU
This is a long non-coding RNA of Taeniopygia guttata (zebra finch), 2439 nucleotides long. The record is from Ensembl. Lineage: Eukaryota; Metazoa; Chordata; Aves; Passeriformes; Estrildidae.